CAUGUAACACAAUUGAAAGUGUUUCACAGUAAAACAUACUGAAACAAUGCAGUUUAAAACCUGCUAGCAGGUGAACAGUAUGAAAAUCUGGAAGCCCCAUAUCAGCUUGGAUCAGCUGCAUAUUAAAUAUCGGAAACAGUGAGGCAAGUGUUACUCUGAAUACCGGUAUUUCAUUGGAAUUAUUUCGGUAUGUUGUAAAACCUUAAUGUUACAGAAAAUGCAGAAAUAAUUAAGAUCUCUAGAGAUUAAUAUAGUGAUUAUAUUCUGACUCAAAAAUACUGUGACAUGCUGUACCAAUGAACUAUGUGGACAGAGGUUUCAUCUAUCUUCAUUGUUUUGCUCAACAUCGAACGUUUCCUAUUGACAAAUGGUGCGAUACAAGUACAGGUUGCAAAUCUAAAGGAGGCUGGCGAAAGGUCUCAGUACCAAACUAAAAAUAAAUCUGAAAGACAGAAAACUAUUGAUGAUCUUCUAACAGACUACGAUCCACGAAUACCACCAAAUUAUGAAGACGGUAAAUUUAUACAUGCUUUGUUCUUUUUCUUCAAAUAUAGUAAUAAUUUCAACACAAAAGUCUGGUCGCUUUAUAGAUAUUAAUCUGAGUUUUGAUUCAUCUCAUUUCUAUCUCUGUACAUUAUUGUACGUCAUGUUUUAUUGAUAAAUUGCGUAUAAUUACUAUUCAUCUAAUUAGAAAAUAAAACUUUCUUUUCACAACGCGCCGUUUGCAAGACAAUUCGUGACAAUUCAUGUCAAAAAUUCCUCACCAAGCGUGUCUUCCAGAAACAAGCAGCAUAGCUAUUUGCAUCGAAGAUAUCAUCAGUACCUGAAACAUUACAAAUGUGUUAAUGUAGGCCGGAUUAUUUGGCUUUGUUAAUUAAAUAUGAAAUUGCCAGGAAUCAAAUCUGUGAAAUAUGUUAUAGUAAUUAACUUUUAUAGAUUCAAUUUAGCAGCUGAUGUACGGAAGUUGAAAAAAACAACAAAUAAACUGGGAGAAAAUGUUAUUUUGUAACCAAUUAAUUAUUGUAUUAUCAAGUAUAUUAAUCGAAUGCCCCGAGUGAAAAGCAAUCUGUUGUUGUUAAACAGCAGUCUGAAGGACAAGCAAACACUGUUAAUUUCAGUAGUAAUUGCA
Mercenaria mercenaria is the source of this 1129-nucleotide long non-coding RNA. RefSeq lists it as uncharacterized. Lineage: Eukaryota; Metazoa; Mollusca; Bivalvia; Venerida; Veneridae. The transcript has 3 exons. The record is from RefSeq and is a predicted model, not a curated record.